This 494-nucleotide ribosomal RNA is filed under the name uncultured bacterium. RNAcentral describes it as "bacterial SSU rRNA". It matches the Rfam family "Bacterial small subunit ribosomal RNA", at positions 19 to 518 of the family's 1533-position model. The record is from RNAcentral.
UCGUGUCAGGAUGAACGCUGGCGGCGUGCUUAACACAUGCAAGUCGAACGGAGUUUAAGAAGGAAGCUUGCUUCAUUUAACUUAGUGGCGGACGGGUGAGUAACGCGUGAGGAACCUGCCCUUCAGUGGGGAACAACAACUAGAAAUGGUUGCUAAUACCGCAUAAUGUCGGAGAGCCGCAUGACCUUCCGACCAAAGGAUUUAUUCGCUGAAGGAUGGCCUCGCGUCCGAUUAGGUAGUUGGUGAGGUAACGGCCCACCAAGCCUACGAUCGGUAGCCGAACUGAGAGGUUGAUCGGCCACAUUGGGACUGAGACACGGCCCAGACUCCUACGGGAGGCAGCAGUGGGGAAUAUUGGGCAAUGGGCGAAAGCCCUGACCCAGCAACGCCGCGUGAAGGAUGACGGUCUUCGGAUUGUAAACUUCUUUAAUUGGGGAAGAACAAAAUGACCUACCCAAAGAAUAAGUCACGGCUAACUACGUGCCAGCAGCGGC